UACGUAGGGGGCAAGCGUUGUUCGGAAUUACUGGGCGUAAAGCGCGCGUAGGCGGUUUGAAAAGUCAGAUGUGAAAGCCCCGGGCUCAACUUGGGAACUGCAUUUGAUACUGUCAGACUAGAGUACAGAAGAGGUGACUGGAAUUCCCAGUGUAGCGGUGAAAUGCGUAGAUAUUGGGAGGAACACCAGAUGCGAAGGCGGGUCACUGGGCUGAUACUGACGCUGAUGCGCGAAAGCCAGGGGAGCGAACGGG
This 253-nucleotide ribosomal RNA is filed under the name uncultured bacterium. Its description in RNAcentral is "partial 16S ribosomal RNA". It matches the Rfam family "Bacterial small subunit ribosomal RNA", at positions 524 to 776 of the family's 1533-position model. The record is from RNAcentral.